CAAUAGCGUAUAUUAAAGUUGUUGCGGUUAAAAAGCUCGUAGUUGGAUUUCUGCCGAGGACGACCGGUCCGCCCUCUGGGUGUGUAUCUGGUUUGGCCUGGGCAUCUUCUUGGAGAACGUAGCUGCACUUGACUGUGUGGUGCGGUGUCCAGGACUUUUACUUUGAGGAAAUUAGAGUGUUUCAAGCAGGCACACGCCUUGAAUACAUUAGCAUGGAAUAAUAAGAUAGGACCUCGGUUCUAUUUUGUUGGUUUCUAGAGCUGAGGUAAUGAUUAAUAGGGAUAGUUGGGGGCAUUCGUAUUUAACUGUCAGAGGUGAAAUUCUUGGAUUUGUUAAAGACGAACUACUGCGAANGNAUUUGCNAAGGAUGUUUNCAUUA
RNAcentral lists this ribosomal RNA (379 nucleotides) under uncultured eukaryote. RNAcentral describes it as "partial 18S ribosomal RNA". It matches the Rfam family "Eukaryotic small subunit ribosomal RNA", at positions 592 to 975 of the family's 1831-position model. The record is from RNAcentral.